UACGUAGGGUGCAAGCGUUGUCCGGAAUUAUUGGGCGUAAAGAGCUCGUAGGCGGUUCGUCGCGUCGGCUGUGAAAUCCCGAGGCUCAACCUCGGGUCUGCAGUCGAUACGGGCGGACUGGAGUACUGCAGGGGAGACUGGAAUUCCUGGUGUAGCGGUGAAAUGCGCAGAUAUCAGGAGGAACACCGGUGGCGAAGGCGGGUCUCUGGGCAGUUACUGACGCUGAGGAGCGAAAGCGUGGGGAGCGAACGGG
RNAcentral lists this ribosomal RNA (253 nucleotides) under uncultured bacterium. Its description in RNAcentral is "partial 16S ribosomal RNA". It matches the Rfam family "Bacterial small subunit ribosomal RNA", at positions 524 to 776 of the family's 1533-position model. The record is from RNAcentral.